GCCUAACACAUGCAAGUCGAACGGGAAUCUUCGGAUUCUAGUGGCGGACGGGUGAGUAACGCGUAAGAAUCUAACUUCAGGACGGGGACAACAGUUGGAAACGACUGCUAAUACCCGAUGUGCCGAAAGGUGAAACCUAAUUGGCCUGAAGAAGAGCUUGCGUCUGAUUAGCUAGUUGGUGGGGUAAGAGCCUACCAAGGCGACGAUCAGUAGCUGGUCUGAGAGGAUGAGCAGCCACACUGGGACUGAGACACGGCCCAGACUCCUACGGGAGGCAGCAGUGGGGAAUUUUCCGCAAUGGGCGAAAGCCUGACGGAGCAACGCCGCGUGAGGGAGGAAGGUCUUUGGAUUGUAAACCUCUUUUCUCAAGGAAGAAGUUCUGACGGUACUUGAGGAAUCAGCCUCGGCUAACUCCGUGCCAGCAGCCGCGGUAAUACGGGGGAGGCAAGCGUUAUCCGGAAUUAUUGGGCGUAAAGCGUCCGCAGGUGGUCAGCCAAGUCUGCCGUCAAAUCAGGUUGCUUAACGACCUAAAGGCGGUGGAAACUGGCAGACUAGAGAGCAGUAGGGGUAGCAGGAAUUCCCAGUGUAGCGGUGAAAUGCGUAGAGAUUGGGAAGAACAUCGGUGGCGAAAGCGUGCUACUGGGCUGUAUCUGACACUCAGGGACGAAAGCUAGGGGAGCGAAAGGGAUUAGAUACCCCUGUAGUCCUAGCCGUAAACGAUGGAUACUAGGCGUGGCUUGUAUCGACCCGAGCCGUGCCGAAGCUAACGCGUUAAGUAUC
Molecule: ribosomal RNA, 780 nt
Filed under: uncultured cyanobacterium
Lineage: Bacteria; Bacillati; Cyanobacteriota
Description: bacterial SSU rRNA
Rfam family: Bacterial small subunit ribosomal RNA
Source: RNAcentral